GUAGGGAAUAUUGCACAAUGGGGGAAACCCUGAUGCAGCGACGCCGCGUGAGUGAUGAAGGCCUUCGGGUCGUAAAGCUCUGUCGUAUGGGACUAACACAAUGAAGGUACCAUGCAAGAAAGGAUCGGCUAACUUCGUGCCAGCAGCCGCGGUAAGACGAGGGAUCCUAGCGUUGUUCGGAAUCAUUGGGCGUAAAGCGGGUGUAGGCGGAUUUAUAAGUCAGGUGUGAAAUCCCAGGGCUCAACCCUGGAAGUGCACUUGAUACUGUAAAUCUUGAGUGUGGUAGAGGGUACUGGAAUUGUUGGUGUAGUGGUGAAAUACGUAGAUAUCAACAGGAAUACCGGAGGCGAAGGCGAGUAACUGGGCCAACACUGACGCUGAGACCCGAAAGCGUGGGGAUCAAACAGGAUUAGAAACCCCGGUAGUCC
Molecule: ribosomal RNA, 428 nt
Filed under: uncultured bacterium
Lineage: Bacteria
Description: bacterial SSU rRNA
Rfam family: Bacterial small subunit ribosomal RNA
Source: RNAcentral